This 429-nucleotide ribosomal RNA is filed under the name Chloroflexota bacterium. Its description in RNAcentral is "Chloroflexi bacterium partial 16S ribosomal RNA". It matches the Rfam family "Bacterial small subunit ribosomal RNA", at positions 355 to 776 of the family's 1533-position model. The record is from RNAcentral. Lineage: Bacteria; Bacillati; Chloroflexota.
UGGGGAAUAUUGCACAAUGGGCGCAAGCCUGAUGCAGCCAUGCCGCGUGUGUGAAGAAGGCCUUCGGGUUGUAAAGCACUUUCAGCGGGGAGGAAGGCGAUAAGGUUAAUAACCUUGUCGAUUGACGUUACCCGCAGAAGAAGCACCGGCUAACUCCGUGCCAGCAGCCGCGGUAAUACGGAGGGUGCAAGCGUUAAUCGGAAUUACUGGGCAUAAAGCGCACGCAGGCGGUCUGUCAAGUCGGAUGUGAAAUCCCCGGGCUUAACCUGGGAACUGCAUUCGAAACUGGCAGGCUAGAGUCUUGUAGAGGGGGGUAGAAUUCCAGGUGUAGCGGUGAAAUGCGUAGAGAUCUGGAGGAAUACCGGUGGCGAAGGCGGCCCCCUGGACAAAGACUGACGCUCAGGUGCGAAAGCGUGGGGAGCAAACAGG